ACAGUCUUCCAGCUAGCAGACCAGAAAGGUCAGUCACACUGGAAGAAGUUAAAACGGUGAUCUCGCCUCAUUUGAACCCUGUCAAAGUGGAAUUUUCAAGGACUCGAUGCGGUCGAGAUCUUCUGCUCCCCCAUGUUUUAAAUAGGGUCACCGAGCUGGAAUGAGGGCGGACUGACAACGAUGCCGAAACCUACUUGGCACAGCGCUGUGAUCACAGAGCCAGACAUGAGGAAAAAUAUGCAAAGAAACUGGGUUGGUCAAUAAAAGGCAGAGAGGAAGCAAAGAGGGGGACACUGUAGCAAUAAUUGUGUGGUUUUAAAUAGUUUGCAUCAUACAAUGACAAUAAAACUGAAGUAUGUAUUGUAGAGGCAAUUUCAAAUCAAUGUCCUAAACAAAGCAGUGGCGAACUGUCCAAGAGCACAGUGAAAGCAGCCAAACCAGAUUCUGAGGCCUGAAACUACGAAGUUUUCAGUGCGGACCACACUCUCUGUUCUACAUACAAAUGUUGUGUCUCGAACUCUUUUGCCUUCCUCUCCUCCUCUCUUCUGGGCGGGGCAGAGCGGAAAAAGAGACAAAUUAAAGAACGACAGAAAAAAAAAAGUAAAAAAAGAAAUCCCCCCGCAAAACACACGUGUCUGCGCUAAUCUGUCAGCUGUAAUUCCUGUAUUAUUAAAAAGAGAUACGGUCAUUUGUGGUGUAAUUACACCCACACCCUUUUCCCUUCUGACAGGAGGAAAUGCAUUCCAGGCAUCUUUGCUCUGAGCGUUUACUACACUCUGACAUGCUGUCACGCUUAUCUGAUGGUGUAGUCUCCUUCUGUCAGCCAGAGUGAGACAAAAACAGAAAACCACGGUGCCCACAGGUGAAUUUCAGGAGUUGCUCCUUAGAAAAAGACACGCACACCUUCAUGCCUGCAAGCACAUACAAAUGUAAUGACAGGUUUGACAAAGCAGAGACAAAUGGUUUUUCACACUUGCUCUUAGGUAUCAGCAUUAGUGCUGAAAGACAGUCUCCAAAUCAGCCAAAGAUUUGGCAGAAAAUCCUGCAUGGCAUUCGUGUCUCAAUCAGC
Long non-coding RNA from Astatotilapia calliptera (eastern happy), 1069 nucleotides. The record is from Ensembl. NCBI's taxonomy places the organism in Eukaryota, Metazoa, Chordata, Actinopteri, Cichliformes, Cichlidae.